CCAAUAGCGUAUAUUAAAGUUGUUGUGGUUAAAAAGCUCGUAGUUGAACCUUGGGCCUGGCUGGCCGGUCCGCCUCACCGCGUGUACUGGUCCGGCCGGGCCUUUCCCUCUGUGGAACCUCAUGCCCUUCACUGGGUGUGACGGGGAAGCAGGACUUUUACUGUGAAAAAAUUAGAGUGCUCCAAGCAGGCCUAUGCUCGAAUACAUUAGCAUGGAAUAAUGAAAUAGGACGUGCGGUUCUAUUUUGUUGGUUUCUAGGACCGCCGUAAUGAUUAAUAGGGACAGUCGGGGGCAUCAGUAUUCAAUUGGCAGAGGUGAAAUUCUUGGAUUUAUUAAAGACUAACUUCUGCGAAAGCAUUUGCCAAGGAUGUUUUCAUUAAUCAAGAACGAAAGUUAGGGGAUCGAAGACGAUCAGAUACCGUCGUAGUCUUAACCAUAAACUAUGCCGACUAGGGAUCGGAUGAUGUUAAUUUUUUAAUGACUCAUUCGGCGCCUUACG
This 499-nucleotide unclassified non-coding RNA is filed under the name uncultured Paraglomus. RNAcentral describes it as "SSU rRNA". It matches the Rfam family "Eukaryotic small subunit ribosomal RNA", at positions 591 to 1092 of the family's 1831-position model. The record is from RNAcentral. Lineage: Eukaryota; Fungi; Glomeromycota; Glomeromycetes; Paraglomerales; Paraglomeraceae.